This is a long non-coding RNA of Micropterus dolomieu (smallmouth bass), 769 nucleotides long. RefSeq lists it as uncharacterized. The transcript has 3 exons. The record is from RefSeq and is a predicted model, not a curated record. Lineage: Eukaryota; Metazoa; Chordata; Actinopteri; Centrarchiformes; Centrarchidae.
GCGCCUGUGCCUGAGCGUAGGAGGCUGCGUUAUCCCCUUGAGAGUAAAUGAGAGCUGUACUUGAAUCCACUGUUGUCACGGAGCUAAAGGCAGUGAAUUCCGCUAAAAUGGUCAGGUUUUGGUAAAGAGUUGGAAGCAUUGUGCAGCUGAGAUCCAUUCCACGGAGUGAUACCAAUCUACAUGUUCCAGACGUUUUUUCCAGAGCUUUGUGGAUUCCCAGUUUAGGUGGCUGGGUGGCGAGCCAACCGUGUUUGUGACUCUGACUUUAGACGGAUUGCCAGGAUCUUCCUCAUCUUUAUGGUGGUCGGACUAACACAAACUUAAAAGGGCCCCAACGGUGAGAAAUGAACUCUUGUCAAUAAAGGCAAGUGGAACUAAGGACGAACUGAGCUCAACGAAGUUAAAAGGAAAGUUUUCUUUUUUAUGUGUGCACUUUAUUAUUUUAGUUUAUUUUUCAUACCUGCUUUCUUAUGUAUGUACCAUCCCUGUGUAUUUAAUACACUUAAUGCAAACUGUCAUUCGGGUGUGGUAUUCUUUUUAUUGACAUUCAAUUCUCAGGCUCUUAACAAUUUAGUGUCUUCUGAUUCUGGUCCACAUUGAUAAGACUACUUUAGAGUAUUACACCUAUGUACAUUAUUGCUACCUCGUGAUAAGGGUUACAUAUAGAUUCCCUUGAUGGCAUCGCCCUGGCCUCCAGCACCACUGUGAGGAAUAAUGGUGCAGAAAAACUACUCCAUGCAUUUGUUACUUCUAGGCUGGAUUACUGCAA